UAAAAUAGAAAACUGUUGACCUGAGUUUCAGAACCUGCUUGUGGAAGGAGAGCAUGAGGCUGGAAAUAAACAGCAAUUGCAAACAAGUAGAAUUUGGUGAUGGAAAGAGGAGAUAGGGAGAGAAAAACAAGAAAGGAUGUCCUGUAGAGGACAUGGCCUUACCCAGCCUCUGUGUUGAUGAUGCAUAGGUCAGAUUUCCACCCUGGUCACUUAUUCAUCCACAGAACAGAGGUAGAACCACAGAAUGCAAACUCCAUUUCCAUCUGUGAGCUUAAUCCCACUUUCUGGCCAUUAGCCACUUUAAUGUGUCACUUCUGAGCAACUAUCGCUCUCAUCUCAGAAAAGCAGAUCUGACUGUUCUAAAGGAAACAAAAAUAGCAGAGCAAGAAGAGAAUGUGGGACAUUAUUUUAGUUCUGUGAUGUCAUCGGUCAAUCAGAAUCUGAGUUUCCAAGUGUUGUUUGCAGCUCUGUUUGGAUUACAGCAUUUUGACUGGUUGGCUUCUGCAUGAUGUUUGAGAAUCAUUAAUUCUUCUCAGAAUAGUUUAUUCCCCACUGAAAAGCAGCUGACUUAAACAUAUUGGAAAGCUGAGUGGGAGCCAUCACCAACUGACCUCAGUAUGAGUCAUUCUUAAAUAUUCCUAAAAGAAAAGCAUAUUCUUUGGUCCUUUUCUCUCUUUGAAGUUGGGAGAGGUGGCAGCUCAAGGCGUACAUGGCUUCCACCUCUAAUGAGCAGUUUUAUUGAACAAGUGCAGGAUUAUCAAGAACUUAACCCACCAACUCCCAAGAAUACAGAAUGUUCCAGAGUUUAAUUUUCAUUAAGCAACUUUUUCAUCUCCUAGCAAAAUAGUCAUUCUUUGUAAAAGGAAAAUUGUAGGUAACUGUAGAAAGCUGGAAAACCAUUCAUGUUAUUUCUAAAACAGUCUUAUUCUGUGAAACCCAAUCUUAACCACAAUCUAGUCAAUUCAGUAAUGACUGCAUAAAUAGGUAAAAUGUUCAGGCUGGUACUUAUAGGCCAUGUCUUGCAAUAAUACGUCAAAUCUCAGGGAUCUAGAAAGGUCAUUCUUGUGUAGUCAUUUGUAACCUGCUUGCAAGGAGGAAGGGAAGAGGCAAGAGCCGAGUUGGAACAUUUGGCAAAAUUGCCCCAAAGUAUGAAACCAAAGACCCAAAUAUUGAUUGUGGGGAGGUUUCAGUAAAAUACUCAAAACAUGAAGUGAGAGACUUUAAGCAAAAUUAUAUUGCAACAUGCAAUUUAUUCACUGAAAUGGAAUUUUUAAAGUAAGAUUGAAUAAUAAAAAAAAAAAACCCAAAACAAACAAAAAACUCCCUUGAGAUUUAGUUGGGUAAUAAAAGCUUUUUUUUUCUUUUUUUUCCCCCAUCUGUCCCCCACCCUGUGCUUUGAAAAUUGAACACCUGUCAGAUUCUUCUUUUUCCUUUCAUUUCUUUGACUUGUCAGAGGAAAAAGGUCAGAAGUGAUCACCAACUCUACUUUUUAACAGACAGAAGGCUGUAAUUGAGAGUAAUACCUCUGCAAUUUUGUAGGCAGGGGCUGUUUCGGGCUGGCUUUCAAAAGCUGGGCUAGAAGAGAUAUGCUGGUUAUUCUGUAAGUGAAUCAACUUCAUUCACCGUGCACAGAUCAUUUCUGAUUUUUACUGAAAUGCAGCUACACCACUCACAUUAGUGUCCUUCUUUUGGAUGAAUAGGAAUAUAUUCUAUUUUUAACAUCUACUGGGGUGCCCUAAAGCUAGAAAGAAAUUGCUUUGUGAGAGGUCUCUGGAAAAGUCUCAUUUUGAAAUUGUGCAUUCUUAAGAAUGGUUUGUUCUUAAGAGUGAUUUAUUAUCUUUUUUCUGAGAAGUUUACAUCUCUGUUCAGUAUUUAAGGUGAAAAACAUGUGUUUGUCUUUAACAGAAUUAGAUGCAGUGUUUUUCAUCUUAGUAUGGUAUACGUUGUGGCAUAAUUUAGAAAUGUUUUGAAGUUGCUGAAUUGACUUCUUUAUAAAAAAAUUGAUUUCUGUCAAAACUGGAAGAAUAAUGAAGGAAUCCCUUAACUCACCAUAUGAAACUUUGUGAAACUUAUGUCUGUGUCCAAAAUUUUCAUUGCUCAUUAGAGUUUUAUGUUUGAAGGGAGGUGCACAAUAAAAGGAAUUGUUCUGAAGAAAAUUUACACUUAAAAUCUAAUUUAAACUGCUUGUUAUAUCUAACUUUACAAAGUACAAUCUUUCAAUUAAAAAAUACCAAGGGGUGCCUGGGUGGUUUAGUCAGCUAAGCCACUGACUCUUGAUUUUGGCUUAGGUCAUGAUCUCAGGAUUGUGGGAUUGAGCCCCAUGUCAGGCUCCCUGCUA
Long non-coding RNA from Canis lupus familiaris (dog), 2338 nucleotides. RefSeq lists it as uncharacterized. The transcript has 3 exons. The record is from RefSeq and is a predicted model, not a curated record. Lineage: Eukaryota; Metazoa; Chordata; Mammalia; Carnivora; Canidae.